UACGAAGGGAGCUAGCGUUGUUCGGAAUUACUGGGCGUAAAGGGCGCGUAGGCGGUUUGACAAGUCGGAUGUGAAAGCCCUGGGCUCAACCCGGGAAUUGCAUUCGAUACUGUUUUACUAGAAUUCGGUAGAGGUUGGUAGAAUUCCCAGUGUAGAGGUGAAAUUCGUAGAUAUUGGGAAGAAUACCCGUGGCGAAGGCGGCCAACUGGACCGACAUUGACGCUGAGGCGCGAAAGCGUGGGUAGCAAACAGG
This 253-nucleotide ribosomal RNA is filed under the name uncultured bacterium. Its description in RNAcentral is "partial 16S ribosomal RNA". It matches the Rfam family "Bacterial small subunit ribosomal RNA", at positions 524 to 776 of the family's 1533-position model. The record is from RNAcentral.